GAGGAACAUUGUGUCUGAUACAGCUAAUCGAUCGUCGGCGAAGCUCAAAUUGAUGUUAGCGACACGACGCGACGCUACUGCUGGCCACGACUGCUGCCACGAUGGCCGAGGAGGCUAACACAAACGAUAACGCGGCGAUGGGAAGUAUAACGCAAAACAUACUAGAGGUCAGUGCCGGGGGUGGCGACUCGACGUCCGCAGAGAGCAACGCGGGUGCGUUGCAGUUUCAAGCGUCUCAAGUGAUUGCGCGGUUAGAGCAAGCGGUAGAACAGGCGGCCAAAGGCGACAGCGGUGGCGGCGGAGGUGGCACCACAUGGAACAAUCCCUCAGGAUUCCUCUCGCAGCCGAAGAAAUCGGACGAGAUAUUAGCGUUGAUACAGGAUUUGGUAAUUCACGAAGACGCACCAAAAUCAGGCGAUGGAGAAUCACCGGAUUCGUUGAUCACUCAGAUCACAGCUUUGCCAACUCUAACCGAUGCUGCGAGAUUGGCUUUGAUCACACACACCGUUUCAGCUUACGCGGUCGCGCUACCGAAGUCACACGCCCAGAAACUCGCCGGUCGUCUCGCGGCCGACACAACGAGAUGGCUCAGCCAUAUAUUUCGCUUUGUCGAUUGUGCGUCCUCCUUCCACGAGGAUCACUUAGAAGGAUUAAUCAGAGUGACGCGACUUGCCUUACACAGAAAAUAUCCUCGAUACAUGGAAGAGGGCUUCACGGCACUUGCUUCUCAGCCUCCCUUGAUCUAUAGUUCCGUUGCUGCUCCUCUUGGUGUUGUUCAGCAUUUGUGUAGACAGCUUUCUUUGCCGCUUCAUUGCAUAAGACCGAUUCCACAUAAUACUAUGUUCGGCUCGAGACACACCAUGGACGUCUCGGCAUUGGAACGACGAUUAGCAGAAGACACUCAAUCAAAUAACGUGACCCCGUUGCUAGUCCUAGCUGAAGCUGGUUCGGUCUUAACAGGCCAUUGCGACAAUAUUACACGAUUACGAGCAAUAUGCGAUAAAUACAAUGUUUGGCUUCAUCUCAGAGGACAUUCAUUGGCUGCUCUUGCGUUGAAUACCUCAGCAAAAGAUUUGCCGUCAAAAAUAGCGGAUAGCAUUACAUUACCACUUGGAACAUGGCUUGGUAUACCUUCGUUACCGGUGGUCACAUUGUACAGAUUAGCAGAUAUUAAAGGAGGAAGACCUACUCCGAGAGAUACCACUUUGUCACUAGUUUCAGGAUUGAUGGCGGAUUCACUGUCGAGACGAUUGCCGACUUUACCUUUGUGGGCUGUUUUGCAGGUUUUAGGUCGAGACGGCGUACACGAGAGAUUUAAAAGAUGUUUUUUGGCUGUAGAAGAGUUGUACAAUAAAAUUAGAGAGUUUUCUUGUAUUAGAAUAUUGAGUCAACCGCCAGGUGGCGAAACAGAGUCUUACUCCUUGAGCGAAUAUUUGACGAAUCCAGUUAAUAAUUUACAAUUAUUUGAAGUGGUAGCGAGCGCAAUAGUUUUUCAAUUCGUACCUGUUAACAAAGAGCUUCAAACUACAGAACGCGUGCUGCCCUAUUACGACAAAUUAAAUUCCUGGUUAGGGCAAAUUCUUCAAAGAGACAUUAACAAUGUACAAAUAGAACUGUGUGACAUAGAACAGUGCGGUGUCGCGAUUCGUAUUUGUCCGUUAGAGAAUCCCGAUAAGCCGCCCACAACUGAAGAUGUGGAUAAUCUGAUAUCUUAUCUUGAACAACAAAUAGAAAUAUUACUGGCGACAGUGGAACAUAAAGAAACCUUUGUACGUUUAGUCUCAGAAAAUGAUUCUUUACACCUAGUGGAAAUGCCUGGUUGGGCAGGUUUGGGAGGUGUGCGUUACGCUCCACCUACAUGGAUUCACGUAAUGACUGAUCAGGCAAGAGAAGAAUUAAACAAUCUAAAUAAACAAUUAGUUGAAACUCUACGUAGCACAGAUGCUGCGUUUUCUCUUGGAGAAGGUGCAGACGGUCUCGCUUGUGUGCGAUUCGGCAUGGUAACACAAGACACAGAUGUGGCCGAAUUGUUAUCUUUAGUUUUACAAGUUGGUCAGGAAGUAGAAGCUAGUUCUAAAAUAAUGGAUGCAAUUUCUGAACUGGUUAAAAGGGGUAUCGAAGCGGCACAAACAGACUUAGAGAAAGAACAUGCGGAAAAAAUAUGGCAAGAGGGUAUUCUCAGGCACGUACCUGUAGUAGGAACUUUUGUCAAUUGGUGGAGUCCUAUUUCGAAGGAGACUGGCGUUCGUGGUCGUAGUUUAAACUUACAGGCUGCAGGUGUCGUAGAGAGUACGGAAAAUAUCUACAAAUAUCACAUGCAAUUGCAACCUAAUUUUACGAACAGCAACGGUUCCGGCGCCAGAACUCCACCUCAACCGCUAAUACAAACGCCGGUUGGUGCUAGUAGCCAGAGUCAUAGUCGAUCGUCCAGUCAUUCUAGCCUACAAAGCGGUAAAAGCAUGCCUCUGUUGAAUAGUUCUCAGCCGCAGGUGAAAGAGGAAUCUGAGAACACGACGUCGUAGUGAAUACUAUAUUGUUAUACGAUAAAUCGCGAGCACACGAAUUUCCAAGUCAUUGAAUUUGGGACAAGAGAGAAAUGCUUUAUGUGAAACGUUCUAGUGUUUCUUCCAGGAAGUAUAUUCUUUAUAUUUGCAAAGUGAUUUGUAAUAACUUGUACAGCUUGCCGACUCUAAGAAGCUGGAUAGAAUGAAACGCACGAUAAUUUUAUUCUGCUGCUGAUAUACUUUACCGACUGUUUCUCAUCAGAAUUACUUUUCGCAGUCUUGUCUCUUACACCAAUCUCUUUCACAUAAAAACUUUGUGAAAUUUCGCUAUUAUUUCAAAACUAUCAUGACUUAAUUGUGGGAUGGCCCAUGUACUUAUUAGACUGAUGUACACGUAGCAACAUCGUUUUUAUAUAAUCAUGAAUUGUUGAAAACUAUCAAACGUGAGGAAAAGUCCAGCAGUAUAUUUAUGUAUCAGAAUUGUUAUAAAUAAAAUAUUGCUAAAAUAUAUAGAUAAAAAUAAUCACAAGAAAAGACUUCUGCUUUUGUUUUACGUUACAAUAUAUAGUUGUAAAUUUUUUACAAUGAUAUCGUAAUACAGAUAAUUAUAGAUGUUGGGUUUUUAUUUUUCUUUUUUAUAUUCAUGUGUUUUUCAUUACAAUAAGAGGAAUUAAAUCCAGAAUAUGGCAAUUUUUUUUUCUUGUCCAGACACAAUUGUAAUAUACAAAAGUGGCAUCGAGUACCGAGUUUCGUUCGUUCUUUCCCGUCUUCUAUAUGUACCACUAUAUAUCUCUGUGAGAUAUAAGUCUCUUUAUAUUACAUCAAAAUUCGCACAACUGCACAUACAAAGAAAGACGCAAUAUUUAUAUAACUUACAUAAGAUCUCUAGAGAAUAAUCGAAGUAGCCUCUACACACUUUAUAAAUAAAUCUCUUUCGCGUAGUCAAAGAGAAAUAUGCGCUUCAAAAAAAAGCACAAAAAAAAUUUAUUAUCUAGUCUUGAUGAUACUUUCAUUAAUAAAUAUAGCAAGAGAUAAUAUGUUAGAAAUGCAACGUAAUUUGUGACGAAUGUUGAAUAGAGGAUACCGAGAGAUACUGUCAAAAAAGUGUGACAGAAAUAAAAUAUCCCGACAACAUUUCAUACCGAGCACGUGCGUAAAAGAUUACAUACUUAUAUAUAAUAUACGGAUACAUGGAAAAAUGUUAGAGCCCUGGAUCCUUCGAUAUAUCCAGAAUCAGUCUUAAAGUAUGCACGAAAGCUUUUAGGUCUCACGUCACAUAUUCAUAUAUUUUGUCGAUGUGUAUAACACUCAGAAUCAAAUUCUUCUUUCAAAUUUGGAUUUUGAUUUUCAUCGUUUUAUUGACUAUUUUUUCUUACUUUGCGACAAAAAAAUGCCAUAGGCCAAGAAAAUGCACUAAUUCAAACGAGUUCCUUAACGUUAUCAUUACAUCGUCACUAUCUUUUCUACUAUUUUAUUCCACUAUCUUUUUAAAAUAGUAGUUCCCGUUUUUUUCUUUAUCGCUCUUUCCUUUUCUCUCUCUCUCUCUCUCAUACGCAUA
Pseudomyrmex gracilis is the source of this 4062-nucleotide RNA transcript. It is a transcript of the gene named pyridoxal-dependent decarboxylase domain-containing protein 1, with no coding region annotated. The record is from RefSeq and is a predicted model, not a curated record. The transcript is spliced from 11 exons. NCBI's taxonomy places the organism in Eukaryota, Metazoa, Arthropoda, Insecta, Hymenoptera, Formicidae.